CCUACGGGUGGCUGCAGUGAGGAAUAUUGGUCAAUGGGAGAGAUCCUGAACCAGCCAAGCCGCGUGAGGGAAGACGGCCCUAUGGGUUGUAAACCUCUUUUGUCGGAGAACAGAACCCGGGACGUGUCCCGGACUGCGUGUAGCCGAAGAAAAAGCAUCGGCUAACUCCGUGCCAGCAGCCGCGGUAAUACGGAGGAGCCGAGCGUUAUCCGGAUUUAGUGGGUUUAAAGGGAGCGUAGGUGGAUUGUUAAGUCAGUUGUGAAAGUUUGCGGCUCAACCGUAAAAUUGCAGUUGAAACUGGCAGUCUUGCGUACAGUAGAGGUGGGCCGCAUUCGUGGUGUCGCGGUUACAUGCUU
Molecule: ribosomal RNA, 356 nt
Filed under: uncultured bacterium
Lineage: Bacteria
Description: partial 16S ribosomal RNA
Rfam family: Bacterial small subunit ribosomal RNA
Source: RNAcentral